UACGUAGGUGGCAAGCGUUAUCCGGAAUUAUUGGGCGUAAAGAGUGAGCAGGCGGCAGUUUAAGUCUGGAGUGAAAGCGUGAGGCUCAACCUCAUACAGCUUCAGAAACUGAACAGCUAGAGUACGGGAGAAGUAAGUGGAACUCCAUGUGUAGCGGUGAAAUGCGUAGAUAUAUGGAAGAACACCAGUGGCGAAGGCGACUUACUAGCCCGAGACUGACGCUCAGUCACGAAAGCGUGGGUAGCAAAUAGGAUUAGA
This 258-nucleotide ribosomal RNA is filed under the name uncultured prokaryote. RNAcentral describes it as "partial 16S ribosomal RNA". It matches the Rfam family "Bacterial small subunit ribosomal RNA", at positions 524 to 782 of the family's 1533-position model. The record is from RNAcentral.